GACCCACCGGUAUCUCUUUCGAGAACCUUGAUCCCCUGGACCGGAGCUUUGCUUACCUGCGCCUGGUCCGCCUGAUCAACCUCCAGACCGGUAUCCAUGAUCACCUGAUCAACAAGGUGGCCAGCUUCAUCGACGACCUUCAUCGGGCGCGUCUGAAGUUGCGGUGUGAAUAUCGGAUCUAGGUCCGAUUGGCGAGGUACCUUUCUCCUUGUCUUCUCUAUUUUCUCUUCGCUUUGUUAAGUGAAUGAAUCAGAGGUAGCAAAUAAAAAAUUAUUUCCUUCAAUUUUUUGGUUAUUUUUUAUUACUAUUUCAAUCUGUAUCAAAUGGCGAUGAUUAGUAUUUUAAACAGUAUGAUAUAGGACUUAUAGUAGAGAUAACAGUUGGUUUGUUAAUAACAUGUUAAUCAAAAAUUUGAGAUUUUAGAUUCUGACAUUUGAUAUUUAUCUAAACAUAAAUCUGUUUAAAUAUAAAUUCUGAUCUUAGACCGUCAAAAAAACUUAAUUUGCUAAUUAGAUAAUACCUUAUUUUUUGAUUUCUCUCUUCUUUCUGGAAAUUCUAUGCACAUACGUCCGAUUGUUUCUCACGUAGCAUAUUAUAAAAGAUACAUCCAAUCAAACUCAUAUUUUUAUUAUAUCUAUAAAUAAAAAAAGAAAGGGAUCGUAUUUCUUAUCCAUAUUAAUUGAGUGAACUAAAGUGCAUUCAUUAAGCAUUAUCUCGGAUUGAGUAAUAUUGCUUCAAUCAAAAUUACUAAUUUUUAAUGUAUCUGGAUUUGGUUAUUUGUGAUAUAUCUUUGCACUUUAGAUGAAUUCUAUUCUAAAGAAGGCACCUUCCAUUAUGUGGACAAGAAUCGGAUAAUAUCAAAACUUAAUUUAUUUAUUCGGUGUAUGCAAAAAGCCGUUAAUCAAAUAAAAUAUAAAAUAAUAGAGUUUUACUAAAAGAUUUUUAAUAUUUUAGAAGAAAGAUUUCCAACAAUAAUAAUGGUAGAAAUAAUUUGACCAUACUUACAAUGACAUUCUUUAUUUCACUUUGCAUAGAGUUGGAAUUAUUUUAUUGAUCUUAUAUUACUGCCAAAAGAUUUUGAGAAGAUCAAAAUCAUAAGUGCUCUUUAGAUUGUCAACUUCUCGUAUCUACAAAAUUGAGGGUGUGAGGCAAAGCCUCACAUUGGACCAACCUGUCCCUUUAGUUGGCCCAGACCAAAGAAGCCAGUCCAUUGGCUUGGCUUGCAUGUUGCAUGCAUUGGAGAAAUGAAAGACUCCCGAUAAAAAUCUUUUUCUCCAACAAGUUUAGAAAGAAAAAAAGACUCCUAAAAAAUCGACUAUAAAUAGGAAUCCCUCCCUUCCAUGAUCCUCCACCAUGAUCUAUCUCUCUUCUUUCUUCAUUUUUUUCUUAUUUUUGCCAGUUUUCGUUCAUUAUAGCUACUAGAAAAUCAAGCAAUAGAGACGACCGUAUCCUAAGAUAAACCCUAAUUCUCCUUCCUCUUCCAUUUCCUCAAUGAUAAGAUUUCUUUCUAUCUGAAUUUCGUUGACAAAUUGGCUAGAAAUUGAUCAAAAAAAAAUUUUGUUCAUAUACCCUAUUUUCUGAUUUAUUUUUUUUUUCCAACAACCAGCACCACCUUUGGACACUAGAUGCGAGUUCCUUGGUCACUAGUGAACGAUUAAAGAUCAAAAAAAAAAUGAAAAGAACCUUUGUUCCCUAUAUUUUGAUCUUUAUCUCCUUAUUUUCCUUUCGGUCAAUCACUACAGCUAGCUAUCAAUCAUUGUUUCUUUAUGUUAUUUUCUUUUGUGAUUUAAUAACAGUGGUGCCAUUUCAGAAGUUGAUGGUGUUUGUUUUGCAAUUCUUUGCUAAUUAACUUUAUGUUAUUUUCUUUUGUUUCUCUCUUUUUCAGGCCGAAGUCCAGGGAGAAAUGGUGAACGCUAUUGGCGUGAAUUCAUUGGGUGGGU
Molecule: long non-coding RNA, 1940 nt
Filed under: Elaeis guineensis (African oil palm)
Lineage: Eukaryota; Viridiplantae; Streptophyta; Magnoliopsida; Arecales; Arecaceae
Description: long non-coding RNA (EGUI_LNC080178)
Source: RNAcentral